RNAcentral lists this ribosomal RNA (981 nucleotides) under Janthinobacterium lividum. RNAcentral describes it as "bacterial SSU rRNA". It matches the Rfam family "Bacterial small subunit ribosomal RNA", at positions 53 to 1028 of the family's 1533-position model. Lineage: Bacteria; Pseudomonadati; Pseudomonadota; Betaproteobacteria; Burkholderiales; Oxalobacteraceae. The record is from RNAcentral.
ACCAUGCAGUCGAACGGCAGCACGGAGCUUGCUCUGGUGGCGAGUGGCGAACGGGUGAGUAAUAUAUCGGAACGUACCCUAGAGUGGGGGAUAACGUAGCGAAAGUUACGCUAAUACCGCAUACGAUCUAAGGAUGAAAGUGGGGGAUCGCAAGACCUCAUGCUCGUGGAGCGGCCGAUAUCUGAUUAGCUAGUUGGUAGGGUAAAAGCCUACCAAGGCAUCGAUCAGUAGCUGGUCUGAGAGGACGACCAGCCACACUGGAACUGAGACACGGUCCAGACUCCUACGGGAGGCAGCAGUGGGGAAUUUUGGACAAUGGGCGAAAGCCUGAUCCAGCAAUGCCGCGUGAGUGAAGAAGGCCUUCGGGUUGUAAAGCUCUUUUGUCAGGGAAGAAACGGUGAGAGCUAAUAUCUCUUGCUAAUGACGGUACCUGAAGAAUAAGCACCGGCUAACUACGUGCCAGCAGCCGCGGUAAUACGUAGGGUGCAAGCGUUAAUCGGAAUUACUGGGCGUAAAGCGUGCGCAGGCGGUUUUGUAAGUCUGAUGUGAAAUCCCCGGGCUCAACCUGGGAAUUGCAUUGGAGACUGCAAGGCUAGAAUCUGGCAGAGGGGGGUAGAAUUCCACGUGUAGCAGUGAAAUGCGUAGAUAUGUGGAGGAACACCGAUGGCGAAGGCAGCCCCCUGGGUCAAGAUUGACGCUCAUGCACGAAAGCGUGGGGAGCAAACAGGAUUAGAUACCCUGGUAGUCCACGCCCUAAACGAUGUCUACUAGUUGUCGGGUCUUAAUUGACUUGGUAACGCAGCUAACGCGUGAAGUAGACCGCCUGGGGAGUACGGUCGCAAGAUUAAAACUCAAAGGAAUUGACGGGGACCCGCACAAGCGGUGGAUGAUGUGGAUUAAUUCGAUGCAACGCGAAAAACCUUACCUACCCUUGACAUGGCUGGAAUCCUCGAGAGAUUGGGGAGUGCUCGAAAGAGAACC